This 632-nucleotide ribosomal RNA is filed under the name uncultured fungus. RNAcentral describes it as "SSU rRNA". It matches the Rfam family "Eukaryotic small subunit ribosomal RNA", at positions 283 to 923 of the family's 1831-position model. Lineage: Eukaryota; Fungi. The record is from RNAcentral.
GCCGGCGAUGGUUCAUUCAAAUUUCUGCCCUAUCAACUUUCGAUGGUAGGAUAGUGGCCUACCAUGGUUUCAACGGGUAACGGGGAAUUAGGGUUCUAUUCCGGAGAGGGAGCCUGAGAAACGGCUACCACAUCCAAGGAAGGCAGCAGGCGCGCAAAUUACCCAAUCCCGACACGGGGAGGUAGUGACAAUAAAUACUGAUACAGGGGCUCAUACGAGUCUUGUAAUUGGAAUGAGUACAAUUUAAAUCCCUUAACGAGGAACAAUUGGAGGGCAAGUCUGGUGCCAGCAGCCGCGGUAAUUCCAGCUCCAAUAGCGUAUAUUAAAGUUGUUGCAGUUAAAAAGCUCGUAGUUGAACCUUGGGUCUGGGUGACCGGUCUGCCUCACCGCAUGCACUGGGAACCCGGACCUUUCCUUCUGGCAAACCUCAUGCCCUUCACUGGGUGUGUUGGGGAACCAGGACUUUUACUUUGAAAAAAUUAGAGUGUUCAAAGCAGGCAUCUGUCGAAUACAUUAGCAUGGAAUAAUAGAAUAGGACGUGCGGUUCUAUUUGUGGUUUCUAGGACCGCCGUAAUGAUUACUAGGGAUAGUCGGGGGCAUCCGUAUUCAAUUGUCAGAGGUGAAAUUCUUGG